RNAcentral lists this transfer RNA (78 nucleotides) under Neobacillus sp. PS3-40. RNAcentral's name for it is "tRNA-OTHER". It matches the Rfam family "tRNA". From Rfam's summary of the family: Transfer RNA (tRNA) molecules are approximately 80 nucleotides in length. The record is from RNAcentral. Lineage: Bacteria; Bacillati; Bacillota; Bacilli; Caryophanales; Bacillaceae.
ACGUUUGUAGCUCAAUUGGUUAGAGCAUAUUCACAUUGCCCCGUGGAUAGUUUAUCGGUUCAAGUCCGGUCAAACGUG